GCUCAGUUGGUAGAGGACAAGACUCUUAACCUUGUGGACGUGGGUUCAAGCCCCAU
This is a non-coding RNA of Triticum aestivum (bread wheat), 56 nucleotides long. The record is from Rfam. Lineage: Eukaryota; Viridiplantae; Streptophyta; Magnoliopsida; Poales; Poaceae.